AACGCGAAGAACCUUACCUAGGCUUGACAUGCAGGGAAAUCUGGCAGAGAUGCCAGGUCCUUCGGGGCCUUGCACAGGUGGUGCAUGGCUGUCGUCAGCUCGUGUCGUGAGAUGUUGGGUUAAGUCCCGCAACGAGCGCAACCCUCGUCCUAUGUUGCCAGCACGUAAUGGUGGGGACUCAUAGGAGACUGCCGGGGUCAACUCGGAGGAAGGUGGGGAUGACGUCAAGUCAUCAUGCCCCUUAUGUCUAGGGCUGCACGCAUGCUACAAUGGUCGGUACAAAGGGCUGCAAUACCGUAAGGUGGAGCGAAUCCCAAAAAGCCGGCCUCAGUUCGGAUUGGGGUCUGCAACUCGACCCCAUGAAGUCGGAGUCGCUAGUAAUCGCAGAUCAGCAACGCUGCGGUGAAUACGUUCCCGGGUCUUGUACACACCG
Molecule: ribosomal RNA, 433 nt
Filed under: uncultured bacterium
Lineage: Bacteria
Description: bacterial SSU rRNA
Rfam family: Bacterial small subunit ribosomal RNA
Source: RNAcentral